This 508-nucleotide ribosomal RNA is filed under the name Orthocis pygmaeus. RNAcentral describes it as "partial 16S ribosomal RNA". The stretch from base 387 to 508 matches the Rfam family "Bacterial large subunit ribosomal RNA", at positions 2473 to 2595 of the family's 2925-position model. Lineage: Eukaryota; Metazoa; Arthropoda; Insecta; Coleoptera; Ciidae. The record is from RNAcentral.
CAUGUCUUUUUGUUUAUAAUUUAAAGUCUGAUCUGCCCAAUGAUUAAUUAAAUGGCCGCAGUAUUUUGACUGUGCAAAGGUAGCAUAAUCAUUAGUUUUUUAAUUGAAAGCUGGGAUGAAGGAUUUAAUAAGAAAAUGACUGUCUCUUUUUAUUUAUUUGAAUUUUAUUUUUGAGUGAAAAAGCUUAAAUUUUUUAAAAAGACGAGAAGACCCUAUAGAGUUUAAUUUUUUUUUUAAUAAUAUUUUUAUUUGGAAUUUUAUUUUUUAUUUUGAAAAGAAUUUUAUUGGGGUGAUAUAAAAAUUUAAUAAACUUUUUAUUUAUUUUUACAUUAAUUUAUGUUUUUAAUGAUCUUGAUUUUUGAAAGGAAAGAUAAAAUUACCUUAGGGAUAACAGCGUAAUUUUUUUAAAAAGUUCAAAUUGAUAAAAAAGAUUGCGACCUCGAUGUUGGAUUAAAAUUUAAAAUUGGUGUAGGUGCUAGUUGCUUAGGUCUGUUCGACCUUUAAAAUU